AUGGCGCCCGAAGCCAUGCCCCGUUGCCCCUCCGGCCGACGAGUCCAGGCCGCCCUAUGCGCGCGAUCACAUCGGCCUCCCCGUCCUCAGCUCCUCCUCCACCCCGCCUUGGCGCACGAGCCCGCUUCCCGCCUCCUUCUCCCUCUGCAACGCGCCCUCCUCCUCGAAGCUGGCCCCGCCGCCACCGCCCGGGCGAGCGCCGCCCCUGAGCUCCUCGCCAUGGCCUCUCUUGCGCCUCCUCUGAUCCUCCCUCCGUUUUCCUGCACUGUUGAAUCGCCGGAGCAGCCCUGCAUCCCACAGCCCAGCCGCCUCCUCAUCCAGCGCCACAUCGAGCUCGUCGGCCUCGGCCUCCUCUGCAUCGCGCCUCCCGACGCCACCCCACCUCCAUCGCCCUUGCUGCUGCUGCUAGACCACCAUGGCCACCUUCCCAUGUUUCUUCUUCGGCCAUCAGUGCAUCGAACACCCCCACCGGUGCCUCUAUGA
RNAcentral lists this ribosomal RNA (483 nucleotides) under Triticum aestivum (bread wheat). RNAcentral's name for it is "partial small subunit ribosomal RNA". Lineage: Eukaryota; Viridiplantae; Streptophyta; Magnoliopsida; Poales; Poaceae. The record is from RNAcentral.